Molecule: transfer RNA, 85 nt
Filed under: Thermosphaera aggregans
Lineage: Archaea; Thermoproteati; Thermoproteota; Thermoprotei; Desulfurococcales; Desulfurococcaceae
Also listed under: 1 other name
Description: tRNA-Leu
Rfam family: tRNA
About the family: Transfer RNA (tRNA) molecules are approximately 80 nucleotides in length. Their secondary structure includes four short double-helical elements and three loops (D, anti-codon, and T loops). Further hydrogen bonds mediate the characteristic L-shaped molecular structure. tRNAs have two regions of fundamental functional importance: the anti-codon, which is responsible for specific mRNA codon recognition, and the 3' end, to which the tRNAs corresponding amino acid is attached (by aminoacyl-tRNA synthetases). tRNAs cope with the degeneracy of the genetic code in two manners: having more than one tRNA (with a specific anti-codon) for a particular amino acid; and 'wobble' base-pairing, i.e. permitting non-standard base-pairing at the 3rd anti-codon position.
Source: RNAcentral
GCGGGGGUGCCCGAGCUUGGCCAAAGGGGGCGGACUCAAGAUCCGCUGGCAUAGGCCUGCGUGGGUUCAAAUCCCACCCCCCGCA